Molecule: RNA transcript, 1903 nt
Organism: Lathyrus oleraceus (garden pea)
Lineage: Eukaryota; Viridiplantae; Streptophyta; Magnoliopsida; Fabales; Fabaceae
Exons: 4
Source: RefSeq, a predicted model, not a curated record
AAUUAUUCAAAAACCUAUUUGUCUUUCGUCUAAAAUCUUGCCCAGGAAACAAGAUUAUAAACAAAUCAUUGUGUUUCUUUCAAUUUAUAUUCAAUUUAUAAACAACCUUUUGUUCUUUUCUUCUCCGUUCUCUUUUCUUCUCCUCUAUUUUCAAACAAAAAAGCGCACAGUCAAAACAAUGGACGCAACCGUCGACCACUACACGGUGCUAGGGUUACCUUCCGGCGAAGAAGGUGCAAACCUAACCGAAAAAGACAUCAACAAAGCCUACAAACUCAAGGCUCUAGAACUCCACCCUGACAAACGACCCGACGACCCCAACGCCGCCUCCAAUUUCCAACAGCUUCGAACCUCCUACGACAUCCUCAAAGAUGAAAAAGCUCGCAAGUUAUUCGACGACCUUCUCCGUGUCAAACGCGAUAACGAGCUCCGUCAAUCCCAGCGCGACGGAAAACGCCGCAAAAUGGUUUCUGAUCUUGAACGAAGAGAGCGAGACGCGUUUUCUCCCGAUCCCGCCGCCAAGGGGAGGGAAGACGAGGAUAGGAUUGCCAGGCAACUUAAGGAUGAGAUUGCUCGAAUUCGUGCUAUGCAUGCUAAGAAAGCUGUGCCUGGUUCUGGUUUUGAUUCAAAGAAAGAAAGUGGUGCUUCUGGUGGAGUUGACGGUGGUGGCGGUGGAAUUGAUCAAGAGAAGGCUCUGAAAGUUUCUUGGGAAAGGAUUGGUGAAGAUUAUUCAGCGGAGAACUUGAGGGAAUUGUUUUCAAAGUUUGGUGAAGUUGAAGAUGUUGUUAUCAAAGGGAGGAAGAAAAAGGGUUCUGCACUUGUUGUCAUGGCUACUAAACAAGGAGCUGUUGCUACAAUUGGAAGUGUGAUUGGUCAUCUUGCUAAUCCAUUGUUGGUUUUACCUCUUAAACCUGCAAUGGCUGCAGACUCUUGGGGUUCUCCGAAGUCUGUUGAACCUGAAGUGCCGAGUAAACUAGUUGGGUCUGGUUAUCAAGCUUUCGAGGAUUCUGUUCUAAUGAAACUGCAAAAGGCUGCAGCAAAGCAGAGGUGAUGGUGAAAGAUGUCAAACACUAAACAGACUAUUUGGAAUGGUAAUCGCUGAUUCACCAAUUUUAAUUCUUAGGAGUCUGCAACAUGUGGUGAUAUGAUUCAAUUCAAGAAUGAUGAAAACCAUACACUGGAAGUUGAAGGAGGUGUGGUUUUACUGUAGCCCUGGGUCUAUUACAAAUGUUGUUGGGCUGCAAAAAGAGAAAACAAAUGCCAGUUGAUGGAAAGUCAGAGAUCAAUGAUUCCCAAGGUUGCAUAAAAAAUUGAAUUCCAAUUUCAAUGUCAAUACUCAGUAUACAAGUCUUGUGUUCUGGGUCAGUCUGGAAUUGCUUUUGCUAUCUGUAUAUACAACACUAAAAUGGGAGUUUGUUUGGAUUUGCUUUUGCUAUUUGUAUACAACACUAAAAUGGGAGUUUAAUACACUUACAGGAGCGAAGCAGAAUGAAUAUUCCAUUGCCAUCGUUUGGGUAUUUUAAGACGGAGGGGAAGAAAUAUAGAUGAUGGUAAGUGAUAGAAUGAAAUUGAAUUCAUAUCACUCAAUUCUGCUUCCCUCCAUUCGAUUUUAAUUGAUCCAAAAAAAUGGAAAGGAACUUCAUUCCGCUCCAUUUUGUCACAUUCCAAGAGUACAAAAAGUGAUAAAGCUUUUGGGGAAUUUGAUAUCCAGCAAAGCUUACUCCCAACCCAAAAAGAUGAUAGCAGGCAAAAAUAGCAUUGGACAAAAAGAGUUCUCAUAGGCCUGUCUGUUUGUAAGAAAAAUAAAGGGUUAUAGAUAUAGAACAUGGAAUCGUGAAUACAAGGUGCUAGCUAUCAUGUUCAAUGAUUGUUACGUUAACUACUGUGUCACUAUUUUUGUUGA